Molecule: ribosomal RNA, 209 nt
Filed under: uncultured bacterium
Lineage: Bacteria
Description: partial 16S ribosomal RNA
Rfam family: Bacterial small subunit ribosomal RNA
Source: RNAcentral
AAGUCAGAUGUGAAAGCCCGGGGCUCAACCUCGGAAUUGCAUUUGAAACUGGCAAACUAGAGUACUGUAGAGGGGGUAGAAUUUCAGGUGUAGCGGUGAAAAUGCGUAGAGAUCUGAAGGAAUACCGGUGGCGAAGGCGGCCCCCUGGACAGAUACUGACACUCAGAUGCGAAAGCGUGGGGAGCAAACAGGAUUAGAUACCCUGGUAG